This 1442-nucleotide ribosomal RNA is filed under the name uncultured organism. Its description in RNAcentral is "16S ribosomal RNA". It matches the Rfam family "Bacterial small subunit ribosomal RNA". The record is from RNAcentral.
CAGGCUUAACACAUGCAAGUCGAGGGGCAGCAUGGUCUUAGCUUGCUAAGGCCGAUGGCGACCGGCGCACGGGUGAGUAACGCGUAUCCAACCUGCCUUACACUCUUGGACAGCCUUCUGAAAGGGAGAUUAAUACAAGAUGUUAUCAUGAGUAAGCAUUUUCGCAUGAUUAAAGGUUUACCGGUGUAAGAUGGGGAUGCGUUCCAUUAGAUAGUAGGCGGGGUAACGGCCCACCUAGUCUUCGAUGGAUAGGGGUUCUGAGAGGAAGGUCCCCCACAUUGGAACUGAGACACGGUCCAAACUCCUACGGGAGGCAGCAGUGAGGAAUAUUGGUCAAUGGACGAGAGUCUGAACCAGCCAAGUAGCGUGAAGGAUGAAGGUUCUAUGGAUUGUAAACUUCUUUUAUACGGGAAUAAACGAAUCCACGUGUGGAUUUUUGCAUGUACCGUAUGAAUAAGGAUCGGCUAACUCCGUGCCAGCAGCCGCGGUAAUACGGAGGAUCCGAGCGUUAUCCGGAUUUAUUGGGUUUAAAGGGAGCGUAGAUGGGUUGUUAAGUCAGUUGUGAAAGUUUGCGGCUCAACCGUAAAAUUGCAAUUGAUACUGGCAGUCUUGAGUACAGUUGAGGUAGGCGGAAUUCGUGGUGUAGCGGUGAAAUGCUUAGAUAUCACGAAGAACUCCGAUUGCGAAGGCAGCUUACUAACCUGUAACUGACAUUGAUGCUCGAAAGUGUGGGUAUCAAACAGGAUUAGAUACCCUGGUAGUCCACACGGUAAACGAUGAAUACUCGCUGUAGGCGAUAUACAGUCUGCGGCCAAGCGAAAGCAUUAAGUAUUCCACCUGGGGAGUACGCCGGCAACGGUGAAACUCAAAGGAAUUGACGGGGGCCCGCACAAGCGGAGGAACAUGUGGUUUAAUUCGAUGAUACGCGAGGAACCUUACCCGGGCUUAAAUUGCAACCGAAUAUGGCGGAAACGCUAUAGCUAGCAAUAGCGGUUGUGAAGGUGCUGCAUGGUUGUCGUCAGCUCGUGCCGUGAGGUGUCGGCUUAAGUGCCAUAACGAGCGCAACCCUUGCCGAUAGUUACUAACAGGUCAUGCUGAGGACUCUGUCGGGACUGCCAUCGUAAGAUGUGAGGAAGGUGGGGAUGACGUCAAAUCAGCACGGCCCUUACGUCCGGGGCUACACACGUGUUACAAUGGGGGGUACAGAGGGCUGCUACCACGCAAGUGGAUGCCAAUCCCAAAAACCUCUCUCAGUUCGGAUUGAAGUCUGCAACCCGACUUCAUGAAGCUGGAUUCGCUAGUAAUCGCGCAUCAGCCACGGCGCGGUGAAUACGUUCCCGGGCCUUGUACACACCGCCCGUCAAGCCAUGGGAGCCGGGGGUACCUGAAGUGCGUAACCGCAAGGAGCGCCCUAGGGUAAAACUGGUGACUGGGGCUAAGUC